GCAGCGCCAACGUACCGAAAUUCUAAAAUUGGCUGGAAAUGGUUUAUAACUCCGAUUUUGGAGUUUUUAGAGUAUUUUUAAGUACUUGCAGCGUCUUUUAAUCUCUGAAGAAAAAUUCAAUGAACCUGGGGACAACAAGAAGGCACAACUGAAAGUUUAGCAUUUCUAACAUCGAUUCGAGUAAGAAUUUUUUAUUGUAUUCUUUGUUAUGGAAUUAAAAUUUAAUUAUAAAUAAUGUGGUAUUUU
This 246-nucleotide long non-coding RNA is filed under the name Carica papaya (papaya). Its description in RNAcentral is "long non-coding RNA (CPAP_LNC014345)". Lineage: Eukaryota; Viridiplantae; Streptophyta; Magnoliopsida; Brassicales; Caricaceae. The record is from RNAcentral.